UACGUAGGGUGCAAGCGUUGUCCGGAAUUAUUGGGCGUAAAGAGCUCGUAGGCGGUUCGUCACGUCGGCUGUGAAAACCUGAGGCUCAACCUCAGGCCUGCAGUCGAUACGGGCGGACUCGAGUUCGGCAGGGGAGACUGGGAUUCCUGGUGUAGCGGUGAAAUGCGCAGAUAUCAGGAGGAACACCGGUGGCGAAGGCGGGUCUCUGGGCCGAUACUGACGCUGAGGAGCGAAAGCGUGGGGAGCGAACAGG
Molecule: ribosomal RNA, 253 nt
Filed under: uncultured bacterium
Lineage: Bacteria
Description: partial 16S ribosomal RNA
Rfam family: Bacterial small subunit ribosomal RNA
Source: RNAcentral